UAGAGAGCAGCAAUGUCUUCAAGUCUUUCGGAUAUUAGUUUUGCUCGCCUUUCAUAUGCGACCUCUAUUACACAUAUAUGUACUACUUACUUAUGUAGACGUGGCGCUAUAGAGUAUAGGUUAAAUGUUUAUAGUUUAUGGUGGAUUGACAGUGUUUUGCAAUUUGUAGUUUAGUUAUCUUUGGAUGGCAGUAUUUUUAAGUUGCGUAGUGCCAAAGUCACUACAAAUAUGAGUGGUGCAUCACGAAAAGUGAAAAAUCCAUUAUUAUCAGCAGCUGGUGAAGGUUUCCCGUUUGAAAAUUACACUGAAAAUGCAUUUUUGGUUCCUGUUACGCCUGCAACACCUGCGAUGCUUCGCGAUGACGCUGAAUCGAACAACUUCGUAGAACAGGAGCCGGCCAAUUUGCACAAUUCAGAAACUUUAGCGACUGUACCCGAUACGGAUAGCGAAUUCACGCCGAUACCCUUGCAUUCCGAGGAGAACAGGAAUCCAACAACGAGCCAGCCAACGAAGCAGAGUUACCUGACUUCGAUCCUUUCCUCUUUGCCGAAUUUAUCUUUGUCGUCGAUCACAGGCGACGGGUCUUCCGGGUCUCAGCCGAGUCAAGGAGCGGAGAACGUAGCCGGUGUACAAAAUACGAAGCCUCAUGUGCCUUUGCACGACCGUCGUGACUCGUUCAGGGACACAUCACCGUCUGUAAUCGCCAAUUUUCACGAUUCUCGACGCGCAAAUUUUACGGGAUUCGCCGAGGUUAAUCCCGGAAGUGGUGGAAGCUUGCUGCCAGCCCCGCCUCAGUCGACGGUGCCGCCUACGCUUCCUUCGACGACGAACGGCCCCAUAUCGUACCGUUUGGGCAAUCAAAGACGCCUCAAGUACGCGCCACCGCCCGAUUUAACGUCGAACACAUCCAAACAGUAUUCCGCCCCCGUGACUCAACCCCUUCUCACACCCCAUAACCCGGUCCCAACACCGAAUAUAUUUAAUCCAAACGAGCCCGUUGGAACGAAUCCAACUUGCCAACCCGUCGAAACAUCGAUUUCCACGAAUUCACCCUCUCUACAACGCUCCACGCCCGAACACUUGUCCCAGGCCAACUCUUUGCAAGAGUCGUUUAGAUCUAGUCCCGUGGCGAUAGCUGGAGUCGCUCACAACUCGACAGGUACGUCGAGAAGCGUCACGCCUCAGAGUCAAAAUUCGAAUUUAGCUGUCCCGGCCACCUCGUCGGCCCAACCGAUUCCAGAACCACCGACCACGCCGCAGAACACUCCUGCAAACGUUAAUUAUUUCGGCUACGAUACUUACGGGGCCUUACAACCAGACUUCCCCUCGAGGACGGAGAAAGGAGCAGCGUCGGGGAGGAGUCGGGUAGAGGCGGCAUUGCCGAUUUCGAAAGAGGGCGUUGAGGCGAAACCUGGCGUAACCUUUGCCCCAGUGUCUGCGGUUCAAGUUACGGAAAAGUUGGAACACUUGCUCGCCGAGCGUGAACAAGACCCGUCUACUCUUCCCGGGGAAAGAUCAACAAAAAUCGAGGAUGCGACGGAGUGUCGGCCUAUCGCAAAUUAUGACGAUGUAAAAUUGGUCGAGGAACGGAACGAUUUAUCGAGGCCCGACGUAUCGAGCGACGUGUUUUUAGAAAGGAAGGAGGGCUCGGAGAUAACGCAUUCAACGAUAACUUGUCAAGAAGCGAGCGCACAACAACAAGGAAAGUUCGAUGGAACGCGGAGUCAUGGUGUAUCGUCGAACGUGCAAUCCGUGCAACAAUAUUAUCAACCGCAACUUUUCGCAUCGAGUGCCGGCUUUUUUGCGGGAGAGCGUCGGAGAUCGAAUCUGACUUACAUUCCCGAAGCCUCCACCAAUUACAUCGAUCCAUCGAAGAUCGUCGUCCAACCAGCGAGCUCGUUCUUCGACAAGCCAGAGAGCAACGCCUCGUUCCCUGUUUUCCAGUACAAAGAAAAUACCAAUGCCCCAUUAAUAGACGCGGCUACUUUGUCGAGAAAUAACGAUUCGCAACAACAAGUGCCAGCAGCGUGUAGCCCGAUCGAGCCCACAUUCGCCAAUCCUCAAGCAUCUCGAUCCCCGUGGGAUACGAAUCAGAUCUCUGAGACCGGGAUUACGACGUAUAACGCGGCUGCUCGAUCACCCCAACAACCUUUGUUCUACAAUCCCGCUCAAUUCCAAGACGAACUGCCGAAACAAAUACCGACGUACACGCCGCCACCAGUGACGAGUCAACAUUAUUUCGAUAAUUUUACCGCGCAAACGUGCGAUAUAACGAGCGGGAUUGGGAUUGAAUUUCCAACCGCGCCUUCUAUGACCGUACUCGAGCCAACUGGUUCGGCUACGUUAAAUCCUGUCCAGAUGUCAAUUAAUCCGUUGGGUGGACGAGCAGUUACGGACGGUGUGCCUCCAAGUUUUCAGAAUUUGGCCGCUGGCUCUUCGGAUAAACGGAUGCAGUACAGAAGAGUGUAUCACCAUUGGUUUUAUCGCAAAAAAGUGGAGCACAAAGUGUUAUGGGUUCCGUUCUCUAUGCAAGACAGUUUACGCCUAGAAGGGGUUCAUAAUUCCACAGAAAUUACCCCUGAAACGACAGUCGCCACCGAUGGAGGUCGUUACGACGUUGACAUUUUACGACGUCAGAGAUCACCCGUUUAUUGGAGCGGAGAAUCGACGGAAGUGAGGCGAUGCUCGUGGUUCUUCAAAGGACCCACUGAAUCGAGAUACGUUCCUUACGACGAGAACACCGCUUGUAAACUCGAGGAAGAGUAUAAACAAGCGUGUCUGCUCAACAAUUGGAAUCGAAGGAUCGAUCUGAACAAUGGGGAAUACAUUAUCUUCCACAGUGCCUCCGUUCAGGUCCACUACUUGACGGCUGCUUCACCGGAAUUGGCUGCGUCAUGGGGAAAUAGUGCGGGCUCAGAGGACAGUACAUAUUUACAGGGUGCUGGUAGUAGGCCUAGGGUGAUAAAAAGAGGUCUUGACGAGUUCCACAUCGAGGAUGGCGAGCCCGAAAAAGUAGAUCAUGUUCUGUUCCUCGUCCACGGCAUUGGUAGCGUCUGUGAUUUGAAAUUUCGAACUGUGGAAGAAGUCGUUGACGAAUUUCGAAGUAUUUCAUUGCAAUUGGUACAAUCUCAUUAUCGAACCGCUAGUGAGCAGAGAAUUGUAAAUAGGAUAGAAGUUUUGCCAAUCUCGUGGCAUACAACGCUCCAUUCCGACACUGGAAUCGAUAAGAAACUACAAGCUAUCACCUUGGAUAGUAUAUCGAAAUUACGACACUUCACCAACGACACGUUGCUCGACAUACUUUUUUAUACCAGUCCUGUAUAUUGUCAAACUAUUAUUACAACGGUUGGAAAUGAACUGAACAGGCUAUAUGCUCUUUUCAAGAAACGAAAUCCAGAUUUCGACGGUGGAAUUUAUCUUGGCGGCCAUUCUUUGGGUAGUUUAAUUUUGUUUGAUCUUCUGUGUCAUCAGAAACCAUUGUCGGAUGAUAAAUCGAAUGAAAAUGAUAGCGAAUCUAACGAGGAACAGAAACAAGAGGAUGUCGACUCUUCUCAAUUACCCAAUAGUGUCUUAAAACGACGUCUCAGUAAAAAAAUAAGCUACGUAGUAGGCGCUGCUGGGACUGGUCAGCCUUACAUACAUUACACGCAAUUACAUUUUCACCCACGUGCCUUUUUCGCUUUCGGUAGCCCGAUUGGUAUGUUCGUGACAGUUCGAGGCAUCGAUAUGCUCGGAGAAGACUUUGCAUUGCCAACGUGCCCUGCUUUUUUCAAUAUCUUCCACCCCUUUGAUCCUGUAGCUUACAGGAUCGAGGCGCUCAUUAACCCAGAUGCUCCUAAAUAUCGACCAAUGUUGAUCCCUCAUCACAAAGGACGGAAAAGAAUGCAUUUAGAAUUAAAAGAACAAUGGCACGUGUCGGUGCGGAUCUGAAACAGAAGUUACUCGAUUCCGUGAGAAAUACAUGGAACUCUGUUUAUCAAUUGGCGCUGUUUCACAAACCGGAUAACGGUACGCUCGAGCGUGAAAUUGAUAAAGUUAUGGAAGAACAAUUGCAUCAAACCGUUCCGGAACGUCAAACUAGCGACGACGGCGGUGUUGAACUUAAAGUGGGCAAAUUGAAUAAUGGACGAAGAAUAGAUUACGUUCUUCAGGAAGCUCCGUUCGAAUACAUUAACGAGUAUAUUUUUGCUUUGACGAGUCACGUUUGUUAUUGGGAGUCCGAGGACACCAUGCUGUUGAUUUUAAAGGAAAUAUAUGGCUCGACUGGUAUUCAAACAGAUGCUCAACUUCCAACGUUAUCGUUGCAAGUGUGUCCCACGCCAAAUUCUUCUACAGUGUAUGAGACAGAUGAACUAUUACAUAAUCCUGUUAUAGGAAUAGAUCCUACCGCACCUAUAUCCGAGAAACUUGUUGGUCCACCGCCUAAAAGCGGAUUUGUUAAGAAAUCAUGAUCGAAAUGGAAUCGUUUUAACUUCCUUGAAAAGUUUCACGACAAUGAAGGACAAGAUAUUGUUAAGAAUCAUAUAAUCGCUGCCGAUCAGGUUGAUGCGGGCAUUGUACCUGAUGUUAACGCGAGUUACAAAUUUUAAUUAUUGAAAAACAAAUUUUCUUGUUUUCUGUAAGAGUUGCAUCCGAGGUGUUAUCGAAUCUAUCGUAACAUUCUAAACUAUUACCCAAGUGGAUUGUUUCUUCGUUUCUUCUCAAAUUCACCAUUUAGAUACGUCGGCCUACGCAACAACGUUCAAGCACUGAAAAAGUAAUUAAAAAUAUUAUUUAAUAAGAAGAAAAAAAUAAUAAUUAAAAUAAAUUGUAACGAUUUAAUCCUUAGAUGUGAUAUAAAAAUUAAUACAAAGUCGAGCUAUUGAUAUUCGCAAUAUCGUCAUUUCGGCAAGUUAAAAAACGUUAUAACAUUCAUUAAAAAUCUAGGGACAUUGAUAUUGGACAGGCGAACGAAAGUGAGACUUUGUAAUACAAAAAA
Molecule: unclassified non-coding RNA, 4978 nt
Filed under: Apis florea (little honeybee)
Lineage: Eukaryota; Metazoa; Arthropoda; Insecta; Hymenoptera; Apidae
Description: sEC23-interacting protein, transcript variant X3
Source: RNAcentral